GAAAACAGACGACUAAAUAUUAAGUCGUCUGUUGUACAUUAUCAGCCAUAAUAAGUCGUCUUAACCGGACCAAACCUUAAAGUUUACCAAUGUACUUUUAAAGCUAACCGGAUUAUUUACCCAAUAUAUAAGGUGAUUUUUUUUUUGUUUCAUUUUCCGCGAAAUUCAGAAACCCUAACAGUUCUCUAGUGACAAAGGCGAUUUCGAAUUCCCACGAUUUCCGAACAAACCAUCG
RNAcentral lists this long non-coding RNA (235 nucleotides) under Brassica napus (rape). RNAcentral describes it as "long non-coding RNA (BNAP_LNC010920)". The record is from RNAcentral. Lineage: Eukaryota; Viridiplantae; Streptophyta; Magnoliopsida; Brassicales; Brassicaceae.